Molecule: non-coding RNA, 135 nt
Organism: Triticum aestivum (bread wheat)
Lineage: Eukaryota; Viridiplantae; Streptophyta; Magnoliopsida; Poales; Poaceae
Source: Rfam
UUGCUACUCCCUCCGUCCGAAAAUACUUGUCAUCAAAAUGGAUAAAAAGAGAUGUAUCUAAAACUAAAAUACGUCUAGAUACAUUUCCUUUUAUCCAUUUUGAUGACAAGUAUUUCCGGACGGAGGGAGUAUUUG